ACUUGGAAGUGUUUCAAGAGAGAAAGGACUCAUCCAUGCCAUCAGGUUGUCCAUGCCAAAAAUAAAUGCCGCCCACCCUUUAUUAGUGUUAAGGAAGAUGGAGAGUCCUUCUUUAAGACUCUUAACAAUCUCUUCUUAUUCCACCAAUUUCCUUAAUAUCACACACCAAAAAAAUAUGAAAAAUUUAUGAGGUGUAGAAGAAGAGGAG
This 208-nucleotide long non-coding RNA is filed under the name Elaeis guineensis (African oil palm). RNAcentral describes it as "long non-coding RNA (EGUI_LNC059453)". The record is from RNAcentral. Lineage: Eukaryota; Viridiplantae; Streptophyta; Magnoliopsida; Arecales; Arecaceae.